This 1395-nucleotide long non-coding RNA is filed under the name Equus caballus (horse). Its description in RNAcentral is "lncRNA (ENSECAG00000047412.1)". The record is from RNAcentral. Lineage: Eukaryota; Metazoa; Chordata; Mammalia; Perissodactyla; Equidae.
AAACAGGAAAAACCUGGCAAGGGAGCCUCAGCCCUGUAUGCUUACUGCAUUAGGAACCAGGAGUAAAGGAAGGUUGGGCACGUCUGAGCCCGGAAAGUGGAAAGAGGAAGGAGUUAGUGGGAAUCAGUAUCUUUGUCCAUUGGUAACCACAUACAGUGACUGGUUGAUGUGGGUUAUAAACGCCUGGCUCACUUGGCUCAUUUGGAGCAACUCUGAAGAGCCAUCCAAGUUUAAAGCUCACCACGGGGUCUGCUGAAGCUUUUGCUCUGACUGCAUGAUGGCUCAACAUCACCUUUUGCCAGUCUUUCUGCUUUUACUCUCCAACAGGUGUUGAUCCUGAGAGCAUCCUUGAGAAUCCACCUCUGUGCAAACUUCAUGUCACAGUCUACUUCUCAGAGAAUGGGACCUAGGAAACCUCCUCCACAAAGUCCUCCCUCACCCAUUCCCAGUGGACCUGUUUCGGCUUUCUGACAAUACUGUUUGGGUCAGUUGAAUCCAGUCAUUUUGCAGUUUCUGAUGUCACCAACUUUGUUGAAGAUGAAGCAGGCUCAGAAGAGAGUCAGAUGGGCUUUGAAUUGUAACUAUGUCCAUCAUCGGUUACACAAACAUGGAAGAUUAUUUCAUCUCCCAGUUUCUUCAUCAGUAAAUUCAGAAUGAUAAUAUAUGGCUUGAAGAGUUGUUGAGAGGAUAACAUUUUAUAAUAUAGACAAAUUGCCUAAUCUAGAGCCACAUACCUUGAUUACUAAUAAAUGGGUCUUAGAACACUAAGAAUACUAGACACUCCUCUGAAUUACAGAAUAUUUUUGGUUCUUUGUGGAAGUAAAGAGGCAUAUAAUACAUUCCAGAGUAAGAUGUGUUGUUUGGAGGAAGUUUUAAAGAGUUUCAGCACCACAGACAGAUGCAAAAUUGCUAUUUACUUCUUUCUUGGGUAGAUAGAAGGAAAAGAACAUCAGAAUGGGCUGGUUUACCUUGUAACAAUGAUAUCAAGGUAAUGGAAAACCCCCUUCUUGAUGUCCCCACCUUCUGCAGGAGGACAGCUGGCAUCAGAGAGUGUUCAUGUUUUGUUUCCUUUGUUCUUUUAGUCUGAGAGCUGCACAUGGGCAAGGUUACUCCUUAAAGGGUGUUACCCUUGAAUAUGUCACAACGAACUUUUGUGUGCCUGAGCCUCUCCCCUCCAGCCACCCUAAAUUUACCCCAAUACAAAAUCACUAGAGAAAAGGAGCCCACUACUUAGUGAGGACCUAUUUUGUGUUUGGAAUUGCCCCAGAUGCUUUUCUACUGUUAAUUGAAUUCUCACCACGGUUUCCUGUUAGGUAUAAUUACUUGCAUUUUACAGAUGAAGAAACUGAAGAUCCCCAGCAUGUUCUGCAAGAGGCCAGAUGAUAAAUACUAUGG